Molecule: ribosomal RNA, 253 nt
Filed under: uncultured bacterium
Lineage: Bacteria
Description: partial 16S ribosomal RNA
Rfam family: Bacterial small subunit ribosomal RNA
Source: RNAcentral
UACAGAGGUCUCAAGCGUUGUUCGGAUUCAUUGGGCGUAAAGGGCGCGUAGGCUGCGGGGCAAGUCGGGUGUGAAAUCUCAGAGCUCAACUCUGAUACUGCACUCGAUACUGCUUUGCUCGAGGACUGGAGAGGAGAUUGGAAUUCACGGUGUAGCAGUGAAAUGCGUAGAUAUCGUGAGGAAGACCAGUGGCGAAGGCGGAUCUCUGGACAGUUCCUGACGCUGAGGCGCGAAGGCCAGGGGAGCAAACGGG